RNAcentral lists this transfer RNA (77 nucleotides) under Armatimonadota bacterium. RNAcentral describes it as "Armatimonadetes bacterium (activated sludge metagenome) tRNA-Glu". It matches the Rfam family "tRNA". Rfam says of the family: Transfer RNA (tRNA) molecules are approximately 80 nucleotides in length. Their secondary structure includes four short double-helical elements and three loops (D, anti-codon, and T loops). The record is from RNAcentral. Lineage: Bacteria; Bacillati; Armatimonadota.
GGCCCCAUGGUCUAGCGGCCUAGGACGCCUGGUUCUCAGCCAGGAGACCGCGGGUUCGAAUCCCGCUGGGGCUACCA